Molecule: ribosomal RNA, 600 nt
Filed under: uncultured Actinomycetes bacterium
Lineage: Bacteria; Bacillati; Actinomycetota; Actinomycetes
Description: bacterial SSU rRNA
Rfam family: Bacterial small subunit ribosomal RNA
Source: RNAcentral
GUGAGGUAACGGCUCACCAAGGCAUCGACGGGUAGCUGGUCUGAGAGGACGAUCAGCCACACUGGGACUGAGACACGGCCCAGACUCCUACGGGAGGCAGCAGUAGGGAAUCUUGCGCAAUGGGCGAAAGCCUGGCGCAGCAACGCCGCGUGGGGGAUGAAGGCCUUCGGGUCGUAAACCCCUUUCAGCAGGGACGAAAAUGACGGUACCUGCAGAAGAAGGUCCGGCCAACUACGUGCCAGCAGCCGCGGUAAUACGUAGGGACCAAGCGUUGUCCGGAAUUAUUGGGCGUAAAGAGCUCGUAGGCGGUUCGGUAAGUCGGGUGUGAAAAUCCAGGGCUCAACCCUGGGACGCCACCCGAUACUGCUGUGACUAGAGUCCGGUAGAGGAGCGUGGAAUUCCUGGUGUAGCGGUGAAAUGCGCAAAUAUCGGGAGGAACACCAGUAGCGAAGGCGGCUCUCUGGGCAGUAACUGACGCUGAGGAGCGAAAGCGUGGGGAGCGAACAGGAUUAGAUACCCUGGUAGUCCACGCCGUAAACGGUGGGUACUAGGUGUGGGUUUCCUUCCUUGGGAUCCGUGCCGUAGCUAACGCAUUAAGUA